RNAcentral lists this ribosomal RNA (329 nucleotides) under uncultured eukaryote. Its description in RNAcentral is "partial 18S ribosomal RNA". It matches the Rfam family "Eukaryotic small subunit ribosomal RNA", at positions 1470 to 1796 of the family's 1831-position model. The record is from RNAcentral.
CCCUUAGAUGUUCUGGGCCGCACGCGCGCUACACUGACAGAGCCAGCGAGUUUUUUUCCUUGGCCGGAAGGUCUGGGUAAUCUUGUGAAACUCUGUCGUGCUGGGGAUAGAGCAUUGCAAUUAUUGCUCUUCAACGAGGAAUUCCUAGUAAGCGUGAGUCAUCAGCUCGCGUUGAUUACGUCCCUGCCCUUUGUACACACCGCCCGUCGCUACUACCGAUUGAAUGGCUUAGUGAGGUCUUGGGAUUGGCUUCGGGGAGCCGGCAACGGCACCCUGUCGCUGAGAACUUGAUCAAACUUGGUCAUUUAGAGGAAGUAAAAGUCGUAACA